CCUUCCGCCUGAGACUCGAACUCAGAACCUAGACGGUAGAAACAUCUUGCUCUAUCCAAUUGAGCUAACGGAAG
RNAcentral lists this transfer RNA (74 nucleotides) under Vibrio phage vB_VpaM_R16F. RNAcentral describes it as "tRNA-Met". The record is from RNAcentral. Lineage: Duplodnaviria; Heunggongvirae; Uroviricota; Caudoviricetes.